This 1270-nucleotide long non-coding RNA is filed under the name Mus musculus (house mouse). RNAcentral describes it as "long non-coding RNA chr1:136670706-136671976". The record is from RNAcentral. Lineage: Eukaryota; Metazoa; Chordata; Mammalia; Rodentia; Muridae.
AUAGCACUUUGGGAUCUUGGCCUUUCUAGGAGCCAGCUUGCUUUCAUCUUACUGUUUUGAUUGUGCCUCACAAGGGACAACACUCCGAUUGUCUAGGAGGAGGAAGGUCAGGGACAGAAAAGUAAAAGCCAGGAGCAGCCUGUCCUGUCUGCCUGGGCUGCUGGGGAAUGAUUGUCAGUGAAUCGAGUUGUCUGUGGAGCCCCUGAGCAAAUUCUCCCAGUGGCAGGUAAGACAAACUGACUUAGAACUGUAAGACCAGCGAGGGCUUUUUCCCUUUCAGCCCAGUUUGUGGGCUGUCACCUGACAUGUCCCCCAUCUUAUGGAGAUAUUCAAUGUUCUGCUCACUCGGAGUUUUCAGGUUGCUCCUUUAAUGCUGGCAUCUGUCAAACCCAGAGUCUCACUCUUAACAAGGAAGUACUGUACCCCUGAGCUGUCCAGCCCUGAGUCUUCGCGGUUUGUGAAGCCGUGCUAUGUUAUCUACAAUGGAGACUUUACUCCAGAUAGACCAGCUCCCGAAGGUGUUGCUGCUUGCUAGAGGCUGAGGCACUGUGGGGUGAUUUCUUCUCCCCAUGAUAGCUUUUGAGUGGUGUAUUUGCAGAUCAAAACAAACAAAACCAAACCAGAACCGUGUCAUCCAUGACAUCCUUUGUCCCCAGUCACUGACUGACUCCAUUUUGCUUAAGUCUCUAUGAAGCAUCCACCCUGGAAGUAAUAUUACAACACUGCUAAUAUGUCCGGGCAAUAUUCCUGGGUGGACUUGUUUGGUCUACAUAUUUUUCAUAAACAAGACAGUCUAUGAGCUCAGGUUCUAUCUGUGCCUGGCCUGCCUGGGCCAAAGGCUCUUUCUCCAGCUUUACUAACUGUUUAGCAAGUAGCUCAGCAGCUAUAGUUUGGCUAUGGUAUUUCUAAGGUCGGGAUAAUGAUAAUACCUGCCUCAUUGGGUGCUGAGGAUUAAAUAGGAUACACACUUAAAAGGCUCACCUGAGCCUUGCACUUACAGAGCCCUCGGUUAAAGGUCUCGUAAUUUCAGGUGUCGGGCUCAAAUGUUGCCUGACUCCUAAGAGCUGGUGUGGGGUAAGAUACCCCUGGGUAUUCAGCGUCUCUCCUUCUCCCAUGGGUGUUUUCCAGCGCUCAGUCUGUGGGACUUAUUGACUAGUUCUUUCCCCCAUGACAACGUGAACUCUCCGUGGAUGGUCUUUUUAUUCCGGUUUCAGGCCCCAAGGUUGCGCCUGGCAUGCAAUUGGCUUUGUUGAAUGCCUCUCCGCUCCCA